UACGAGUGCCUCAAGCGUUAUCCGGAAUCAUUGGGCGUAAAGGUUGUGUAGGUGGUUGUAUUAGUCUUCUGUUAAAUUCUUCGGCUUAACCGGGGGCAUGCAGGGGAAACGGUACAACUCGAGGAUGCGAGGGGUCUGCGGAACUCAUAGUGUAGCGGUGAAAUGCGUUGAUAUUAUGGGGAACACCAAAAGCGAAGGCAGCAGACUGGAGCACUCCUGACACUGAAACAAGAAAGCGUGGGUCGCGAAUGGG
RNAcentral lists this non-coding RNA (253 nucleotides) under uncultured bacterium. RNAcentral's name for it is "partial 16S ribosomal RNA". It matches the Rfam family "Bacterial small subunit ribosomal RNA", at positions 524 to 776 of the family's 1533-position model. RNAcentral also lists the same sequence under 1 other name. The record is from RNAcentral.